GUACCUGACUAAGAAGCACCGGCUAAAUACGUGCCAGCAGCCGCGGUAAUACGGAAGGUCCGGGCGUUAUCCGGAUUUAUUGGGUUUAAAGGGAGCGUAGGCCGGAGAUUAAGCGUGUUGUGAAAUGUAGAUGCUCAACAUCUGCACUGCAGCGCGAACUGGUUUCCUUGAGUACGCACAAAGUGGGCGGAAUUCGUGGUGUAGCGGUGAAAUGCUUAGAUAUCACGAAGAACUCCGAUUGCGAAGGCAGCUCACUGGAGCGCAACUGACGCUGAAGCUCGAAAGUGCGGGUAUCGAACAGGACUAGAUACCCUGGUAGUCCGCACGGUAAACGAUGGAUGCCCGCUGUUGGUCUGAAUAGGUCAGCGGCCAAGCGAAAGCAUUAAGCAUCCCACCUGGGGAGUACGCCGGCAACGGUGAAACUCAAAGGAAUUGACGGGGGCCCGCACAAGCGGAGGAACAUGUGGUUUAAUUCGAUGAUACGCGAGGAACCUUACCCGGGCUUGAAUUGCAGAGGAAGGAUUUGGAGACAAUGACGCCCUUCGGGGCCUCUGUGAAGGUGCUGCAUGGUUGUCGUCAGCUCGUGCCGUGAGGUGUCGGCUUAAGUGCCAUAACGAGCGCAACCCCUCUCCUUAGUUGCCAUCAGGUAAGGCUGGGCACUCUGGGGACACUGCCACCGUAAGGUGUGAGGAAGGUGGGGAUGACGUCAAAUCAGCACGGCCCUUACGUCCGGGGCUACACACGUGUUACAAUGGCAGGUACAGAGAGACGGUCUGAUGCAAAUCAGAUCCAAUCCUUAAAGCCUGUCUCAGUUCGGACUGGGGUCUGCAACCCGACCCCACGAAGCUGGAUUCGCUAGUAAUCGCGCAUCAGCCAUGGCGCGGUGAAUACGUUCCCGGGCCUUGCACACACAGCCCGUCAAG
RNAcentral lists this ribosomal RNA (923 nucleotides) under uncultured bacterium. Its description in RNAcentral is "bacterial SSU rRNA". It matches the Rfam family "Bacterial small subunit ribosomal RNA", at positions 475 to 1401 of the family's 1533-position model. The record is from RNAcentral.